This 301-nucleotide ribosomal RNA is filed under the name uncultured bacterium. Its description in RNAcentral is "partial 16S ribosomal RNA". It matches the Rfam family "Bacterial small subunit ribosomal RNA", at positions 509 to 808 of the family's 1533-position model. The record is from RNAcentral.
CAGCCGCCACGGUAAUACGGAGGGGGCUAGCGUUGUUCGGAAUUACUGGGCGUAAAGCGCACGUAGGCGGUUAUUCAAGUCAGAGGUGAAAGCCCGGGGCUCAACCCCGGAACUGCCUUUGAAACUAGAUGACUGGAAUCUUGGAGAGGUCAGUGGAAUUCCGAGUGUAGAGGUGAAAUUCGUAGAUAUUCGGAAGAACACCAGUGGCGAAGGCGACUGACUGGACAAGUAUUGACGCUGAGGUGCGAAAGCGUGGGGAGCAAACAGGAUUAGAUACCCCCUAGUCCCUGUCUCUUAUACA